RNAcentral lists this ribosomal RNA (451 nucleotides) under uncultured soil bacterium. RNAcentral describes it as "bacterial SSU rRNA". It matches the Rfam family "Bacterial small subunit ribosomal RNA", at positions 26 to 522 of the family's 1533-position model. The record is from RNAcentral.
AGGGCGAACGCUGGCGGCAGGCCUAACACAUGCAAGUCGAACGGACUCUUCGGAGUUAGUGGCGGACGGGUGAGUAACACGUGGGAACGUGCCUUUAGGUUCGGAAUAGCUCCUGGAAACGGGUGGUAAUACCGAAUGUGCCCUUCGGGGGAAAGAUUUAUCGCCUUUAGAGCGGCCCGCGUCUGAUUAGCUUGUUGGUGAGGUAAUGGCUCACCAAGGCUACGAUCAGUAGCUGGUCUGAGAGGAUGACCAGCCACAUUGGGACUGAGACACGGCCCAAACUCCUACGGGAGGCAGCAGUGGGGAAUCUUGCGCAAGUGGGCGAAAGCCUGACGCAGCCAUGCCGCGUGUAUGAUGAAGGCCGUUAGGGUUGUAAAGCUCUUUACCCGGGAUGAUAAUGACAGUACCGGAGAAUAAGCUCCGGACUAACUCCGUGACCAGCGACGCCGAC